Molecule: non-coding RNA, 221 nt
Organism: Pelobates cultripes (western spadefoot toad)
Lineage: Eukaryota; Metazoa; Chordata; Amphibia; Anura; Pelobatidae
Source: the annotation of a GenBank genome assembly
GCAGUUAAGAGCGGAUGGGCAGGCCCUGGUUCUCACUCCAAACCUGUGUGUGGUGAUUUUGGACUUCUGGGCUGCUUUUCGCACCACUCCUCCGGCUGCUUUGAGGUCUCUAAGCCUUUGUGGCUGCCUUCCUAGCCGCUGGGGCUUUGUCCCUUGCUGGAGUCCCCUUGAGCGGUUUGCCCUAGUGGCCUCUAGGUGGAGGGAUAGUCCUGGGACAGGUG